Molecule: ribosomal RNA, 119 nt
Filed under: Pteropus alecto (black flying fox)
Lineage: Eukaryota; Metazoa; Chordata; Mammalia; Chiroptera; Pteropodidae
Source: RNAcentral
GUCUACGGUCAUGCAACCCUGAACACGCCCGAUCCCGUCUGAUCUUGGAAGCUAAGCAGGAUUGAGCCUGAUUAGUACUUGGAUGGGAGACUACCUAGGAAGACCAGGUGCUGUAGGCA